Molecule: non-coding RNA, 120 nt
Filed under: Durinskia baltica
Lineage: Eukaryota; Dinophyceae; Peridiniales; Kryptoperidiniaceae
Source: RNAcentral
GCUCAGAAUCCAUGACCUAUGUGUCAAUUAUCUUUUCUGAAGAAGCUGCUGCAUCAUGUAUUCGCGAACUGGGCGUAAUGGGGUGCAUUCAGUUCACCGAUUUAAACCCUGAAUUGACUC